CCCUCAAACGUCGACAAAUCUGAGUGGACGAGCUCUGGCCCGCGGCAGCCCCGCAAGCGUCACCUCACCAGGCCCUCAGUGCCCUCACCACUCUCUUGGAGCAACCAAUGGCCGGCCGGCAAUUGAAAUGGCAACCCUUGCUUUUCUCAUGAUUGGUUUACAGGGACUACCUGAGGAAUAACGUGGGGGCGUCAUGAACUCUCUCUCUCCCUUACCCGUACGAUCCGCUCGCGCGUUAAAAGGGGGGCUCCUGAGCAUCGCGACUCAGGAGCUCUUACUGGCUCUCCAGCCCUCACCCCCUGGCCUUGUCCACGGCAUCGCGACCUGGCAUACCAGCGGUGGCUGAGCUUGCUCGAGGGCCGGGACCUGAGGACGUAGAGCACGAAGGAGAGUGCAGAGAAGGGAGGAGAAGCUCACGAAGGCUUGACCCAGCAACAUCUCUGCUGCCGACGCGCAAGUCUGGCACCUCGCAAAGGAACGGCUCCAUGCUUUCGAGAUAAGUCUCGCUCCUGGAAUAGCUAAUCGAUGUGACGCCAAACCCCCACCUAAUGUGGCUCUGUGGCGGCAACGUUGCCUUCCUUUCUCGCCUUUCAACGACUGCUUGAGCGCUAAAGGGGACCUCCUGAGCAUUGCACCUCAGGGGCUCUUACUGGACCUCGGGCCGCUCACCUCCUGGCCUUGACCACGGCAUCACAACCUGGCAUACCAGUGACGGCUGAAGCCUGCCUGGGGACCGGGACCUGUCAGCGUGGAGCACCAAGUCGUCGCGAGGUUAGGAAGGAGGAACCAAGCCGAGACAGGACAGGCAUUUUGCCCCACUUCAUAAUAAGGAUGAUAUCAACAAAAGACAUUGCAGAUGCUUUAAAUUCCCCCACGGGGUAUCUCCUCGAUUCUUCGCAGGGAACAAAAGAUGCGAAUCUUAAGGAGUCCUAACUACACGCGCUCUCAUGGCCGACGCCAUCAUCAACAGUGGGCCACGAGGGCCGGUGCCAACCCCAUCUAGAUCAGCUACGGCGACGGCCUGACGCAGCCGCCUUGCUCCGAGCGUGACGCGAGCUCGAGGGCUCGUAGCUGUCGUUGCUCGUCUCCAGAGUCACGAAGAGCUCGGGAGAGCCGCUGGACUCCCAAGCAUCUCCGCUGCUGCCAGAGGAGACGCUGGGGAAGCGGGCGGCAGGCCUAGCCCUUGCCGCAUCAAUGCCCUGUCUGCCUCCUCUAGGGGAGCACUCCAGCCGCCGGCCUUCUGCAUCGAAGACCUUGAAGAGCAUUAGGGAGGCACCAUCCUAUUCGAAGUGAAUCAUGAGGGCACCUCCUGUUCGGCAGACCCGAGUGAUCUCGCCCCAGUCCCGGGUCAUGUAGACCUUGCCCGGAGCGAUGACUUCAACCUCCGCUCCGGUCGCCGGGGCACCGCAGUCGGUGUGCUGCAGCCAGAGCUCGAGAGGCCCCCUCGAUGGCAUCUCGAAGGUGAAGAAAGGAGGAAAGCGUAUCCAAGAGCUUGGAGGCACGGCAGCGUGGAGAACGAGCUCGCGAGAGGAGUCCGCGGUGUGGACUCCAGGAGCAACGACGCGCACCACCGUGACUCGUCGUUGUCGCCGACGGCGCGGGCGGCGCCGCUCGGCAUCUUCUUCUCUAGGGCCCUCAGCCCGGGCGUACAGAGGGAGCGGAAACCUAGGAGGUGGCCGCUCGUACCAAGGCCUCGACAUCUCUGGCCGAGCGACCUCGUCACGGCGGCCGGGGACCGGCCGUUCCUUUGGUGGGAGCGGGUCAGGCCCCUCCCGGGGGGCCUUUCCUUUCUCCUCGGCUGAGAAUCGAUGGAUCGGUGCCAUUGGUUGCAAGAUGGAGGAGGAGCGAGGAAGAAGAAGCGAGCGAAGCGAGAAGAGAUGGACUGAGGGGGCUCGCGCCUCUCCAUACUUAUAGUCCAGAGGAGGCCAACCAUCGGCCUCCACGAUCGCAGGUAAUCAUGACUCUUUUUGCAUGCAGCAGGGACUCAUCAAAUCGGCAGUUGCCGAGGCAGCAUGGGGAAGUGGAGACGCCCACGUCCAAUCAACCGCCACGCGGCAACCAAGGCUGCAGGUUGUUGGGGCCCACGGCGCUCCGCACUUGCCCUUUCACUUCACUCCUAAGCCAAGUCCGAGCAUGCCUUGGGCCCGGGGGCUACUGUCGGCGUUCUGGGAAUGGGGGUCCCCAGACUUGCCUACCUGCGGCCUGUGGCGUGGUUCAAGGGGUGGCCCAGUAUGGCCCGUCUUCAUCGAGCCAAGCUCAAGACCCUCGCGAGGGGCCAAGCCUCGCGGGGCGGAUGACGCAAGGCUUCCUCAGGGGCGGCCUCACAAGGCAGGCUCGCGAGGAGCGGAGAGAUCAAGGCAGGGGUACCUCGCGAGGUGCUCAUGACGCAAGCCAUGACGAUCAAGACUAGGCGGGCGCCAGGCGGGCGCCAGCCUGUGCAAUGUCCUCGUUUCCUCUUUGGUGCAAAGGGGGCAAGCGCAGGCGCGGAAUACCGAGGCAUCAAGCAAAGGUUACCAUAUUGGUGCAAUGAGACCAAGACCAACAGAGCGGCAGGACGGAGGUCACCAUGGAGCCCAAGACGGCGACAUCACCAGUGCCUUUGGCAGUCGAAGACCAACUUUAGUCAGGAUAACUUCUACUAGAUGUUCCCCUUCAAAAUGGUUGUUGUUGGCUCCCUUCCCGCUCAAUAUUUGGGGAGAGGACCAGGGCCUCUAUAUAUAGGGAUAGCCACCACAGUAGCGGGGCGUAUCAUCCAGAGACGAUCGAAUCCACCCAAGUAGAACACCACGCCAGCUCAAGAACACCUCUCGCGAGGUUGUUCUUCCUCUGUACUGUUCAUCAUCAGCCCCAGAGGCAAUCCACCACACCACAAACUAGAGUAGGGUAUUACACCACAACGGUGGCCCGAACUAGUAUAAACCUUGUGUCCCUUGUGUUUUUCAUCGUGUAGCUUAGAUUCACGGCGAGGCGUUGGGACGUGGAUCGGUAGGGGGAAGAUCUUUGCGCGCACCCCAGAGUUCGAACAUUAAGGGUUUUGCCUGAACCCGAUAUCCGACAACAUCAUCAUCAAUAAAUUCCAACAUAUCAGGAUUAACAACAUGUGGUGUUGUUGCAAGUCUACUCAUAACAGAAGGUGAAUCGAUUGCAGAGCUAGAUGGCAGUUCCUUACCUCCCCUCAUCUUAGAGGGAAAUAUCUUAGUCUUGGUAUCCUUCAGAUUCUUCAUAGCGAUAAUUUGAUAAUAAUCCCAAGUGACUCAACAAAUAUAGCUAUGCUCCCCGGCAACGACGCUAGAAAAAGGUCUUGAUAACCCACAAGUAUAGGGGAUCGCAACAAUUUUCGAGGGUAGAGUGUUCAACCCAAAUUUAUUGAUUCGACACAAGGGGAGCCAAAGAAUAUUUGCAAGUAUUAGCAGCUGAAUUGUCAAUUCAACCACACCUGGAGAUUAAUUAUCUGUAGCAAAGUGAUCAGUAGCAAAGUAGUAUGAUAGUUUUGAUAGCAGCAGUAACAGUAACAGUAGCCUUAACAAUGAUAGCAAUGAUUUUAUAGCAAGUGUAACAGUAACAGUAGCAAUAGUAACUUAGCAUGAACAAUAUAAGAGAAAUUCGUAGGCAUUGGAUCGAUGAAUUUGUUGGAUGAUAUUCAUCAUAUAACAGUCAUAACCUAGGGCGAUACGACACUAGCUCCAGUUCAUAAAUAUAAUGUAGGCAUGUAUUCUACAAAUAGUCAAUACGUGCUUAUGGAAAGAACUUGCAUGACAUCUUUUAUCCUGCCCUCCCGUGGCAGCGGGGUCCAUAUGGAAACUAAGGGAUAUUAAGGUCUCCGUUUAAUAGAAAACCGGAACAAAGCAUUAACACAUAGUGAAUACAUGAACUCCUCAAACUACAGUGCUCACCGAAAAGUAUCCCAACUUCUAUCACUCCGGGGUUUAUGGAUCAUAACACGUAAUAGGUGACUAUAACUUGCAAGAUCGGAUCUAGAACAUAGAUAUAAUGGUGAUAACAUAAACGGUUUAGAUUUGAAAUCAUGGCAGCCGGGCCCAAGUGACAAGCAUUAAGCAUGGCAAAGUCAUAGCAACAUCAAUCUAAGAACAUAAUGGAUACUAGGGAUCAAGCCCUAACAAAACUAACUCGAUUACGUGAUGAAUAUCAUCCAAAUCCUCACCGACCAGCGAGCCUACAAAGGAAUUACUAACUCCCGGUGGGGAGCAUCAUGGAAUUGGCGAUGGAGAAGGGUUUGUGAUGACGAAGAUCAAAGAUCCCCUCUCUAGAGCCCCAAACGGACUCCAGAUCUGGCCUCUCGAUGAAGAACAAGAGGUGGCGGCAGCUCCAUCUCGUGAAAUGCUUUCUCCCUCAUUUUUUCUAUGAAAAUGUGAAUUUAUAGCGUUGGAGAUAGGGUCAGCGGGGCCACCAGGUGGGGACAGCCCACCUGGGCGCGCCAGGAGGGGGCGCACCCUGGUAGGUUGUGCCCACCAGGGGCCCCCUCCCGUGGUUCUUGGCUCUAGUAAUUCUCUUUUAUUAUAUACAAAAUCCUCACAAAGUUUCGUUCAAAUCUGAGAACUUUUAUUUUUGCACAAAAAACAACACCAUGAUAGUUAUGCUGAAAACAGCGUCAGUAUGGGUUAGUUUCAUCCAAUCAUGCAAAUUAGAGUCUAAAACAAGAUGAAAAGCGUUAGGAAAAGUAGAUACGACAGAGACGCAUCAGUGCUCUAGGUCGGCGUGAAUGUGGCGCGGUAAGAGGCGGGUGCAUCAGAAUGAAAUCGCAGGAGGGGCGGGUGGGGUUUGGGUGGGCUAGGGCGGUCAGAAGCGGGAGUGGCAGAGGUCUGGACACCCCAAAGCCCCCAAGUUUGUCUUCGGGUAGCGGGAGAAAACAUGUCUGGACCGCCCUGCGGACUGAUACAGGCCCGCAUUGGAUGGCUUCCGCGGUCCGAAUGUAUGCGGGUGGUUUGCGGGUCGCCGUUGGAGAUGCCCUAAGGGAGAUAGGCAAGAACAUAAAAUAUUUCAUACAGAAGAAAGGCAAACGUUUGCACUCAGUCGACUAGACGAGUUUCAGCCAGACACGUCACGGGGACCAGACAAGACGCUCUUUUUGCUGCAACUCUAGGGGGCGUGUGCUGGAACCGGCAAUGCGGUGUGUUGGCACCACUGGCAAAAUUUGCUGGAACUGGCUACAAAAAAUGUUGCACACCUGACAGCACACCAUGCAUCCCUCGGCGACUUUUUAUGGCUCCAUCAAAGAAAUACUCUUCCGUGCAUUCCUGACAAGCAAGUGUUUCUAGAAUAAAUAAAACUGAGUGCUGCAAAGUUAUUUUAUCUAGUAGCUCAAAAACUUUGUGUUGAUUAUUUUUGCUUCACUAACACUUGCGUAAUAACAGUGCCACCGCUACAACUAUACUAAGUUUUCAGGUCAAGAAGCAGAGGGCUAUCUAAGCAUACCAAUAGUAAGUGAACCAAAACCUUCUCAUUAUUUUGGUUUAAACAAUUGAGUUCCUUAUGCUUCAGAUUUCUCUCUAUUUUUCUCGAGGGCGAUCAAGUUUAAACUUGGGGAGUUGAUGAGUGAUACUUUCACGCUUAUUUACCCUUUGUUUAAACCGAGAUAUUUCAUUAAAACCAAGAUAUUCACUCUGAUAUUGCUAGUAAUUAAUGACUAAUGAAUGCAAAGGAUUCUACAAAUCCUCUCUUUGAUGUGUUUCCAUAGGAAAUGGGCUAAAAAGAAAAGAAAUCAUGUGUGGACAUGAAAAGGGCUGGAAGAGGAGAUAGAAGAAAUAAGGAGGAGGCCCACCAGAAGAAACAGAGUAAAGACGACGUUCCUUACGACCGCGACUACCCGCAUGAGCAGUCGUAUAGUGUGGAUUCCGAGGCUCCUCGUCCACCUAAACAACUUUUAUAAAGGGGACCACGCUGAAAUGUCAAUAGAACGUCCGCGGGCGAAGCCACAACAGAGCCAUCUUCAUGCCCUUCAUCGACCCUAGCCAUCGGCAUUUCCCAUCUUCAUAGCCACCAUAACCACCAUAGUCCAUAUACCUCUAGUUCAUACUUGUAAUCGUGUAUCGCACAAGGCAUCCAUUGUAAGACAUAUUAUCAAUCAAUCAAUCUUCAAGAUGUGUUCUCCAAUGAGUUCUUCAUGAGAUCUGAUCUCCAUGUGUGAGUAGUUCGGUAAGGUAUGGGUUGAGGCAUAGGUCUUGCAACCCUCUUUAUUUGUUUUGGGGAUCAACGAAAGUGCUUUGAAUUAAUGUCUUGUAUGUGUGAAAUAAAAUUGUUCUCUAGAUGUCUCUUGUCUCAUCCACGUUCUUCAUCCCUGUAGGUACCGGGAUCAUGGAAAGCGAGCCACGGAGAGGCUAAGGGCAGGAAGAACGUGAAGUGUUAUUCUUAACACUAGUGACAGAAGGGUUUAAUAUGGUAACACGAAUCCAAUCAAUGGGGAUUCAUAGGUGUAGUUAUUAAACACCCAAAGCUCUUAUCUGAUUAUUAUAAUCUUAAUUAUUGAGGCAGCCAUUUGUGUCAGAUAGGGCCUUUGGUUGGACAACUGAUUCUUGAUGCAAGACACGUGCCGGUCAAGAAGUUAUUAGGACACAUCCUCCACUUCGGUUUAUAACAAACACAUCUCGGUAGGUGACUACUGGUGCACAAAUUAAGAUCAUAUUUGAAAGUGCUAGUUAUCGACUAGAGGGGGGUGAAUAGGCAAUUUUUAUGAAAGUCUUCAAAACAUGGUAGCUUUGAAGACAAACAAGUACACAUAACCUAUAUAGUAAGCAGCAGAAUGAAGACUACACUAGGCAAGCAUUAGUCAGGCAUACAAUACAGUGAAAGCACGAAGACUAACUACAACUAGGUAGACAGGAUCAAUAUGGAAGAUAGUACGAAGCUAAACAGAUAUAAGUCUUCACAUAAUGAAGUCAAACAAAUCAGGCGGGCAAGCAAUGACUUCACGAAGACAAACUGAAAAGUAAGGAGAGUAGGGGAUAGAACCAGUUGCUUGGUGAAGACAAGGAUUUGGUAGACCAGUUCCAGUUGUUGUGACAACUGUACGUCCGGUUAGGGAGGCUGAGAUUGAACUCAGAAGACUGUGUCUUCACCUUAUUCCCCUUGAGCUAAGGACACCAAGUCCUCGCCCAAUCACUCUGAUAAGUCUUCGAGGUAGACUUCCAAACCUUCACAGACUUUGUUCACCGGCAAUCCACAAUGACUCUUGGAUGCUCAGAACGCGUCGCCUAACUGACUGGAGGAUUCACAUCCCUCAAGUGUAACAAGUCUUUAGAUCACUCGGACAGAAAGACUUCAGUGAUGCCUAACACUCUUUGGCUCUGAAUGUUUUGGGCUUAGUCCUCGCAAGGAUCUCUCUCUCUCUCUCUCUCUCUCAAAUGCUUCGGAGGUGGGUUGCUCUCAAGCGACAAAAGCCGUGCACUAACUCUGAGCAGCCACCAAUUUAUGGUGUUGGGGGUGGGAUAUUUAUAGCCAGGAGGCAACCUGACCUGAUAUGUUCGAAAUGACCCUGGGUCACUAAGGAACUGACACGUGUCCAAUGGUCAGAUUUCAAACUCACGCGGCAGCUUGGCUUGAGCUACAAGCAAAGCUGACUCAUCUAGCUCUGGAUAAGGUUUGCUCUCAUUGUGUUCGCUCCAAGACAUAGGAUUUGGUUGAGAAUCACUUCAGUCACUCUGACUUUGUUCACUUGGACCCCACUUAACAAUACGGUGGUUCAUAUGACUCAAUAAAGAAGAAAGGAAACUACGAAACAGCUAUGUCUUUGCACUCCAUAGUCUUCAAAUGAAUAUCUUCACAUGUCAUAAUCUUCGUCGAGAAUGUCUUCACGAACCACCAUUGUCUUCAAUGUCUUCACACAUUUUUAGGGGUCAUCUCCGGUAGGUAAACCGAAUCAGUGAGGGACUACUUCCUGUGUUAUCCUGCAAUUCUCACAAACACAUUAGUCCCUCAACCACGUUUGUCGUUAAUACUCCAAAACCAACUAGGUGUGGCACUAGAUGCACUUACAAUCCCCCCUUUUUGGUGAUUGAUGACAAACUGGUUGAAGUUUUCAAUGGGGAUAAAAGUAUGUGAAAGUUUAGUUUUGUGAGCAUUGUCUUCAUACAUAAAAAGAGGCUCCUCCUGAAGAUGUGCAUAUAAGUAGUUUUCUUUUGAAUGCAAAUGCACAUGGAAGGUUUUGCUUUGUGGAGGCCUUCUUCAAAGUGUGAAGACAAUUCAUCAUGCAUAUAUGAAGGUAAUGAAGAUAAUGAUAUGCAUAAUGGAAAAUGGACGUAUGCAGAAUGACUUCAUGCGGAAUUUAUCAUCGCAUCACAAAGUGGUAGCAAGAGUAGCAGACGACCAUCAGGUUCAAGUGUUACAACUCAAAAGCCAAAAGUUUCAAAACGAGAGUUGUAAGAACUUAGCAAAAAUAAAGCAACCACCCACAUGGACCCGCUUGAAGACUAUCAACUCAUAUGCUUCUCCCUCUUUCGUCAGUAAUGAACAAAAAGGUUUGAAGACAUAGAGUAUCUACUCGUUCCCAGCUGGAGUAGAGAAUGGAGCAGGGUCGAUGUUGGAGUUUGGUGGUGCAGACGGGCCUGGCGCAGCAUCGUGAUGUAGUGAAGUUAAUGCUGGGGAAGUGGCAUCAUCUUCCUCAAAAUGCAAGUUGGCGUCACACACCCUCCAUUGAAGAUUCUGAGUGCUAAUCUUUGGCUACAACUGUUGUUGCGAGAGUCAUCGAUGAAGAAGAUGACGCCACUUCCCCAUCAUUAACUUCACUACAUCACGAUGCUGCGCUAGGCCCAUCUGCACCACCAAACUCCAACGUCGACUGUGCUCCAUUCUCUACUCCAGCUGGGAAUGAGUAGAUACUCUAUGUCUUCAAACCUUUUUGGUCAUUACUGACAAAAGGGGGAGAAGCAUAUGAUUUUAUAGUCUUUCAAGCAGACGACCAUCGGGUUUAAGUGUUACAACUCAAAAGCCAAAAGUUUCAAAACGAGAGUUGUAAGAACUUAGCAAAAAUAAAGCAACCAACCAUAUGGACCCGCUUGAAGACUAUCAACUCAUAUGCUUCUCCCACUUUUGUCAGUAAUGACCAAAAAGGUUCAAAGACAUAGAAUAUCUACUCAUUCCCAGCUGGAGUAGAGAAUGGAGCAGGGUUGACGUUGGAGUUUGGUGGUGCAGACGGGCCUGGUGCAGCAUCAUGAUGUAGUGAAGUUAAUGCUGGGGAAGUGGCAUCAUCUUCUUCAUCGACGGCUAUCGCAACAACAGUUGUAGCCGAAGAUGAGCACUCAAAAUCUUCAAUGGAGGGUGUACGACACCAACUUGCAUUUUGAGGAGGCCUGGAGUCAAACUUGAAGUUCUCGGUGAAGCCAUCCUCGCGAAGAUCAUCUUCAGCACAGAGAAAGGUGAGGCUCUUCCAGGACCGCCGACAGGCUUCAUGGGCCACAAAUGAGUUCUUGGUGGCCAAGUUGCAAAUUCGAUUGACAUCCACCAAGAUACUUUGCAUCUGACGCUUCAGCUAGUCAUGAUGCUUGUCCUGCUUUUGAUGUAAAUCCACCAGAAGCUCCUGGUCAUUGAGAACACGAGGACGCUUCUGAGGCCUUUGAGCUAUUGUGCUUGCAGUGGCUUCAGUAUUGGCACGGUGCGGUACGCGCAGGUUGCCAUCCAAAGGAUAAGCAGGAGUUGCAGCAUUGGGCACAUGAAUACCUUCAAUGGGUUGUGUGAAGCUCUGGAAUUCGGCAUUCUGAAGGUGGAGGGGCUUCUUGGUAGGCUCGGGGUAGAUGGCUUCAAUAGACAUAUCAACUUUAGGCAGAAAGACAAUAUGGUUGCAUGCUGAAGGCUGAUAGUCAAUUGUUGAACGAAGCUUAAUCAAGCGCAUCACCCAUGGAGCAUAGAAUUUCAGACCAGACAGAUCAAUCCCACAAGCAGCAAGUUGUCUAAUGAAGAAAUUCUGAGUGUUGAAUGCGAUGCUAUUGAUGAUAUAGAAUACCAAAGUGUUCAUGGCACCUACAAGUUUGGCUCCAGAAGAAUUUCCUUUGAUAGGCCAGAGAGUACGCUUCAAAAUAUGGUACACUAUGCGCGGCAAGUACUUAAGGUCCUUGAUAAAGAACUCCUUUGGGUAUUCAGCGUCUUGGGGUAAUGGCUUCAUCAUGCUAAGCAUUUGGCUCAUACUUGGCUCUGGCAUCUGAAAGAUGCACUGCAGCUCAUUCUGAUGAAGCUGACAACCAGGUUCGUAUAACUCACCUCGAGCGGGCAGGGAAGUAAGCUCGUAUCCUGAGCUUUGGCUUCGUGAUGUACAUCACCUGUCAUCCACUCAAGGAUCCAAGUCUUCGGAUCCCUGUUGUGGCCUCAAAUGUGUAGAGUGGCAUAAAACUGCAGUAGAAGCUCUUCAUUCCAGUGUUCCUUAUCAGUCACAAAAGCCAGAAUACCAACAUCCCGAAAGCAGUCAAGGGCCUCUUCAAGACAUGGCAGACCAGCCAUAGCAUCACAAUCCAGACGUUUGUGCGGAAAGAUCCGGUCUUGGUUGUACAGGAUGCAAGAGUAAUAGCUUCAUUGUUGAUGGCUCCAAAAUCUAUUAGAGGAGAUCUUUGGCUUCGUGUACCUGUUCUUGGAGUUGUCGAGAAAGAUUGUGCUAUGUGAAGCUGAGUAUGCUGAAUGAGCCUUGUGUUGUGACAGCACUUGGAAGCCUUGGCAGGCGUGGAUUUGGCUUCUGAACUUGAGGCCUCUGCUCCACAUGAUAAUAAUACUAGGGUGCUGUAGCAGUAGGUGGAACCAUAAUUGGCCAUCUGACAGUGACAAGCUGACCUUCACGAUUGAAAGCCCUUUCCAUGGUAUGAGGAGGUGGUGGAGGAACAGCGCCAUCUCAGGUGAUUGGCGUCACGGUGACUUCAGCAUUCACAUUUGCUUCAGGCUCCACAUUGUCUUCAGCCAUGAUAGGGUCAUUGGCUUCAGUAGCGUUGUUGGUGGCAGCCUGAGUGUUUUCAACCUCCAUCUGUUCAACAACUAGAGGAUCGGGAAUGAUCACAUUCUCUUCAAGAAUGACCUGGUCAUUAGCAGGGGGUGUGGCUUCUUGGUCCUCUUGGACACACGAGACUGAUCUUCAGAUUGCACACUGGAUUCAGGAGGUGCAGUUUUCAGAGGCUUCUUCGUCGAAGCUUUUGGAGCAGCAGCAGCAGAGGGCUUUGAAGCUUUUGCCUUUUUCUUCUGCUUCAGCAGCGAGGGAGCAUCUUCAGAGUCUGCGUCUUCAGCAGAUUGCUCCACUGCAGCCCUCUGGACAGCAAUGUGGGACAGAAGCCCAUCAAAGUUGGUAAAGUGGCCAAUUAUGUUCUCAUUGGCUUCAUGAGUACCAUCUGAUCUAGGAGCAGAUGGGUCAGGGUUGAAGUCGAGGCCAAACUCCUUCUUGUUCUUGACAGCUGAAUCCUUUGCGAACUGAAGGUUGCGCUUGAAGAGGUUAUCGUCACGACACCAUAAAAGAGAUGAUGGGUCGGCAUUCUCAGGCUGUGGUCCUCGGACCAUGCAAGGAUAGAACUCCUGAGCAAUAGCUUCAGCCUUUGUCUUCGGUAGCAAAUUUCUGUACAGACAAUCGCCCCAUGGGUGCUUGAUGGUAUUCUUCUUAGCAUACUCAGGUGUCACAAAGUUGUACGUGAACCAUUGCUCUGCCCAAUAUCUUCGGAUCCAUUGGAUCCUGUUCUUGUGUUGUGUAUAGCUCUCUUUAGGGUCAGACUUGUAGAGCUCAUACAAUUCUGAGGGCAGGUCUAGUGUUGUAUUGCCUCGGUGUUGCCUGCCACCUUUCCAUGCAGACUUCUCAGAAGCCAUAAUAUUCAGAAAUAUAGGCUUCAGAACAGUGAAAGGCUUCCGUCUACUGGUCAAACAGGAGCUGGCUACAGGAGAUUCAAUGUGACGCUGUAAGAAUUCUGUAAAUGAAUGCAGACAAUGAGAACCAAGGGAUUCUCCCACGGACAUGUACAUGUGACAGCAUUAGAGAUGCGAGGGAAGGGGAAGAGGUCAUAUGCAUUCUCAGAAGUUUUGAAGAUAAAUUAGUUAGAAGACAUUGACCUCACAGUGCGAAGACAUUCACUUAUUGAAGGAAGUUGGCUCCAGAUUUGUAAGAAUCCAAGAGUAGGUACAAGUGAGGUAUCUAACUAGUUAUGAAGCAUAAGUGAACAUACUUUGCAAUAUACGAGAUUCAGAAAAAGACAUAUCCAGAUUUGAAGAUGUAGAAACCACUUUUGGUAGAAGUGGAUGGAUUUGACAAAUCAAAAAGACUGUAAAAAGUGAGAUUUAAUUACCACACACAAACUGCUAGAUGAGGCAGAUGGAAGGCCGAGCAGUCCAAUCUCCCGCGCCCUAACUUGGCGGCGGAAGACACCUACGGCAGCGGCGGAGAAGACGAGGUCCGCAGCCGGCGUGAGGACGGCGUCGAAGAGGUCACGGCAGCUAAGCACUUCGUCUCCGGCGUCGACAUGAGCUAGCGGUGGUGCUAGGGUUUGAGCGAGAUGGCGAGGUGGAAGAAGGAAAUAAUGACCGCGAGGGGGCACGUAUUUAUAAGAAGGAGGAGGGCAGCGCAGCGCAAUUAUGUAGGUGCCCCUGGCGGUUAACAUUUGAAGGACACGUGGCAUGCAUGCAACUUAUCAGGAGUUGAAUAAUGUUCCCACGCACGCCUGGAUUGUCGGGUGGUCAUUCCGGCAUCUCCGGUUUUCAGGCAAGGGAUAAGACAUUAAAAGCAGUUUUAAAAGAGUGUCUCUCUAUCUUCUGCUGACAAGGACACAGAGAAGAUAUUCGAUAAGUGUCAAUAGAAUGCAUAUGACUUAGACAGAAAGAAUUUGAGGGAGUAGCACAGAAGGGAUUUGGGUCCGGUCACAUUCACUUGUCAGAAAAAAAUAGCAUCGUCAAGACAUGGCUAUAAGUGAAUGUUGUAGAGGACAGAACACAUAUAUGUAGUAUUGAAGAUAAAUCAACGUUGCGAAGAUAUAGAUUUUGAAGAUAAAUCAAUGUUGAAGACAAUCCAAAUGCAAAGAUAAUGCAAUCAUGACGCCAACUGGAAAUCUUCAAGAAAUUGUGGUGGUGGCGUUACCCACCGUAUAGGAAGUAUUAGACCCAGACACGACGCACAAUUAUGGUGGCGCUCCGAAGUCAAAUUCCACAUUAAUGUAGUCACACUUAGAGGGUAAGUCUUCAUUGAUUGAAAAAAUACGUUACUUCAUGUGUGGCACAUCUAAGUCAUCAAUAUGCAUAAGCGUUAGGAUGUGUGUCCAUUCACUGGACAUUUGAGGAUUCUAAGAUAUUUAGCUCACACCACGGCUUGCAAAACCUCUUCUCAUCCAAGGACUUCGUGAAGAUAUCUGCCAGUUGCUCUUCGGUGUUGAUGUGAAUGAUAUCAUUGUCUUCCUUGUUGACAUGAUCUCUGCGAAAGUGAUGACGAAUCUCAAUGUGUUUUGUCUUCGAGUGUUGAACUAGAUCAUUGGAAAGCUUGAUGGCACUUUCAUUGUCGCAGAAGAGUGGCACAUUCUUCGUGUUGAUGCCGUAGUCCUUGAGAGUUUGCUUCAUCUAGAGAAGCUGAGCACAUCAAGAUCCAGCAGCAAUGUAUUCAGAUUCAGCAGUGGAGACGGAUACACAAUUCUGCUUCUUUGAAGACCAAUAGACAAGAGAUCGUCCAAGAAAGUGACAUGUGUCUGAUGUAGACUUGCGAUCGACCUUGUCACCAGCAUAAUCAGCAUCAGAAUAUCCAACUAGAUCAAACGAUGAGCUCUUUGGAUACCAUAAUCCUAGUGUUGGGGUGUGAGCCAAAUAUCGAAGAAUUCGCUUCACAGCAAGGUUCCUUUGGUGCCGCUUGGAAUCGGUCACACAUGCAAAUGCUAAGCAUAAUAUCAGGCCUAGAUGCACAUAAGUAUAGCAAAGAACCAAUCAUGGAGCGGUAUACCUUUUGAUCGAACUCUACCAUUGUCGUCAGGGCCAACAUGACUUUUGAUUGGCAUUGGCGUCGUGUACCCUUUGCAGUCUUGCAUUCCAAACUUUUUCAGGAAAUCUUUGAGGUAUUUUUCUUGCGAUGUGAAGAUGCCAUUGCCUGUUGACGGAUUUGAAGACCUAGGAAGAAUUUCAGCACCCUCAUCAUGGACAUCUGAUAUUGCUCUUGCAUCAUGUAUCCAAACUCAUCAUUGUAUCUCUUAUCCGUGCAGCCGAAGAUAAUGUCAUCCACAUAUAUUUAGCACACAAACAGUUCACCAUCAUAUGUCUUCGUGAAGAGAGUGGGAUCUAGAGAGCCAGGUUUGAAGCUUUUGCUCUUCAGCAAUUCUUUGAGUGUAUCAUACCAAGCGUGAGGUGCUUGUUUGAGGCCAUAUAGUGCCUUGUUGAGCUUGUACACCAUAUCAGGGUGCUUAGGAUCUUCAAAACCAGACGGUUGAGCGACAUACACUUCUUCUUUGAUUUUGCCGUUGAUAAAGGCACUCUUCACAUCCAUUUGGUACAGAAGAAUGUUGUGAUGGUUAGCAUAGGCCAACAGUAUGCGAAUGGCUUCAAGCCUAGCCACAUGAGCAAAGGUUUCAUUGAAGUCGAUUCCUUCCACUUGUGUGUAACCUUGAGCUACGAGGCGAGCCUUGUUUCUGACAACUUGUCCAAGUUCAUCUUGCUUUUUGCGAUAGAUCCCUUUAGUGCCAAUGAUGUUGUGCUUGUGAGGAUCAGGACGUUUGACAAGCUCCCAGACAUUAUUCAGCUCAAACUGUUGAAUCUCUUCUUGCAUAUCUUGAAUCCAUUCAGGUUCCAUGAAGGCUUCUUCAAAUUUCUUGGGUUCAGAUAUAGAGACAAAAGCAAAGUGACCGCAAAAGUUUGCUAGUUGUGUGAUCAAUAUAUCUAUUCAAUCUGGACUUCAUUUGCGGCUCGAGGAUGAGUUGGACGAAGAUUUUGAUUAGAUUGACUAUUGUCUUCAUCUUCAGCAUUGGCUUCAGACUGAGCAUUAUCUUCAUGUUGAUUAGGUGUAGAAAUGUUGAUCUCAUCCUCAGCCUGUUCCUCGGUGGGUAUGAUUCCUCGGUGGUGUAGCUUCAUCUAGCACAUUUGGCAGGUGCUUUCAAUCAGAAGUUCAUAAGAUGUUUUCUUGAAGAACUUGUGAAGAUAUACUCUGUUUAUGAUGUGGCAUGCAGUAUCAAUGGCUUCGGGCUAGAAUUUUCUUGGAGUCUUCUACUCAUCGAGCAUUGUCCGUGCCAUCUCAAUGAGUGUUUUGUUCUUGCGCUCCAGGAAGCCAUUCUGGUGAGGUGUGUAAGGAGCAGAGAACUCAUGUGUGAUGCCCAAAGUAUCAAGACAAGUGUCGAGGCCAAUGUUCUUGAACUCAGUGCCAUUGUCACUCCAUAUGUGCUUGAUUUUGAUGCCAUAAUUCGUCAUGGCCCGAUUUGUGAAGCGUCUGAAGACAUCCUGCACUUCAAUCUUAUAGAGAAUCAUGUGCACCUAGGUGUAUCUCGAGUAAUCAUCAACAAUAACGAAGCCAUAGAGAUGUGCAGUAGUAGUAAGGGUAGAGUAGUGAGUAGGGCCAAGUAGGUCCAUGUGAAGCAGCUCGAAGGGGCGUGAGGUAGUCAUGAUUGUCUUCGAGGGAUGCUUGGCUCUAGUCAUCUUCCCAGCUUCACAGCCACCACACAGAUGAUCCUUCUUGAACUUGACGCCCUCGAUGCCAAUGAUGUGCUUCUUCUUCGCGAGAGUGUACAGGUUCCUCAUGCCCGCAUGUCCUAGCCGUCGAUGCCAUAGCCAGCAUUCUGAAGCCUUUGCUAGAAGACAUACGGCAAGCUGUGGUCCUGUGAGAAAUCUACCAUAUACAGAUCACCUCUUUGAUAGCCUUCGAAGACUAGAGAUUUGUCAGAUUCCAUUAGCACAAGACAAGAUAUUUUCCAAAUAUCACAAUUAUGUUCAGAUCACAGAGGAUUGACAUGGACAUUAAGUUGUAUCCAAGGGAUUCAACUAGCAUCACUUUAUCCAUGUGCUGAUCCUUUGAAAUAGCAACUCUACCAAGACCCAGUACCUUGCUUUUACCAGUGUCAACGAAUGUGAUGUGGCUCUUAGUAUAUGGACGUAGGGUUGAAUCCAUCGGAAGACUUCGAUCGCCAUUCAUGUGGUUUCCAUUCAGUGCCUUCCGGAGUUGUGCCCUAUAGUGCAGUUAGCGGGAUAGGCUUCACCAAGAGUAUUGUGAAGCAGAAACAUGUAGCGAACAAGCAUAUUAUCAAAGUUUAAAUUCUGGUUAGGCAUGAUAGGAUGCUUGUCAAGGAACCCUAGGACGAAAUACAUGAUAAGACCAUUGGAGCAUUUUAUCUUGCGUCCCACAAAAUGUUUUAGGUCUCCAGCAUUUUCGUCAGAAGAUUUUGCUUUCCGGCUGGAGACCUUUCCCUGCAAGAGAAGCUAAUUCUUCUUAACCACCCACAUCUUCAGGGGUGGCUUAGAAGCAAUGAGUCUAAGUGCAGCAUCUGAGAACUUUGGCUUGGGAGCCCUAGCAAAUAGCUUCGCAGGAGGAGAAUAGUACUCAUAUGAAUAUGCAGAAAAGUUCUUAGUUUUGUGAACAUAGUCGUUAGAGGAAGCACGCUCAUAUUCAUGAGUCUCAUAAAGGUUCUCCUGCAAAACAUUGGCGUUAGGGUGACCAUGAGUUGUCCUCUAUAUGUAUGAAGCCUUAGGUCUGGGGUUUGUCUUCUUCCCAGGUGAUGUCAUGAUGACAUUCAUGGGAAGCUUCUCAAGACAGCUUUUGGGCACCCAGAUCUUCUUCUGGGGUGACCCGUUCCUAUAGUUAGUACUAAUGUACCUAGCAAACACUUCACCAUUCUGAAUCUUAAACAGUUUAUAAUUGGCAUCAAAAGAAUUAUCAAUGACAAUUGGGUUAGCAUGAGUGAAGCCAGAUAAAGUGGAUGGAUCCACUGACGGAUCCUUAGCAGCAACCCGGGUGGUUUUGGGGUACUGCUCAGGCGUCCAAUAUGAACCAUCAACGUUCAUUUUCCUCUCAAACCCAACACCCUCUUUCCUAGGGUUUCGGUUCAGAAUCUUUUUCUUGAGGACAUCACACAAGGUUUGAUGCCCUUUGAGGCUUUUGUACAUGCCAGUCUUAAGCAAUGUCUUCAACCUAGCAUUCUCAUCAACAAUAGUAGUGGCAUCCUCGGUAGAGGGGUUAGUUACCACAUCAGCAGUUGAAGAUAUUGCAACAUCAGAAGUAGUAGAACAUCCAGCAAUAGAGACAACAUUAUCACGCUCAAGACACUUUAAGCAUGGUGGAACAAAUUCUACCUGAGCGGAACUGGUCUGUUGGGCGAGUAGUGAAUCGUUCUCUUUUUGAAGAUCUUCAUGAGACACUCUCGGUUUCUCAAGAUCAUGCUUCCUUUGAAGAUAAUCGUAGGAAAGCUUCUCAUGAGAGGCUGAGAGAGUUUCAUGACGACUUUCAAGUUCUUCAUACUUAACAUGAAGACUUUUAAUGUCUUCGAUUAAGGACUGAGUUCGAUUCAUUUCCGCGUCCAACAGGUCAUCGCUUUUGUCUAGUAGCUUUUGAAUAUGUUCCAUAGCAGUUUGUUGCUCAGUUGAAAUUUUAGCAAGUGUCUUAUAGCUAGGUUUGGAUUCACGAGGUUACCUUGACACCACGUGCCAUGAGGCAGUAGGUUGGAUCAAAUGGCUCGGGUUCAAAAGUCAUCGUUUUAAGAGACUCCUUGAAUUUGCAGAACCACGGGUCUUGAUGGGUUUGAUGACCCUCAUAGACAUCAGAAAUCUGGUCCCAGAUAAGCUUCGCAUUGCAGAGAUGCAUGAUGCGCCUAAACUCAUCAUUGGACAGAUAUGAGCAUAUGAUAUCCUUAGUCGUGAUAUCCAGUUGAGUUUACUUUUUAAUGUCAUCAGCAUUCGCCAUCUUGCAUAAAUCGGUGAGACCAAUCUCCGUGACAGUCCACAGCUCACUGUUAAUUGCAAGGAGGCGCUUCCUCAUCAUUGCCUUCCAUAUGGGAUAAUCAUGACCAUCAAAAAUAGGACACGCAGCAGAGACUUUGAUUAUCCCUGCAGUCGACAUAGCUAAAAACUCUAGGUGGUUAAACCGAAUCACACAGAACAAGGGAGUACCUUGCUCUGAUACCAAUUGAAAGUGCUAGUUAUCAACUAGAGGGGGGUGAAUAGGCGAUUUUUAUGAAAGUCUUCAAAACAUGGUAGCUUUGAAGACAAACAAGUAAACAUAACCUAUAUAGUAAGCAGCGGAAUGAAGACUACACUAGGCAAGCAUUAGUCAAGCAUACAAUAUAGUGAAAGCACGAAGACUAACUGCAACUAGGUAGACAGGAUCAAUAUGGAUGAUAGUACGAAGCUAAACAGAUAUAAGUCUUCACACAAUGAAGUCAAACAAAUCAGGCAGGCAAGCAAUGACUACACGAAGACAAACGAAAAGGUAAGGAGAGUAGGGGAUAGAACCAGAUGCUUGGUGAAGACAAGGAUUUGGUAGACUAGUUCCAGUUGUUGUGACAAUUGUACGUCUGGUUAGGGAGGCUGAGACUGAACUCAGAAGACUGUGUCUUCACCUUAUUCCCCUUGAGCUAAGGACACCCAGUCCUCGCCCAAUCACUCUGAUAAGUCUUCAAGGUAGACUUCCAAACCUUCACAGACUUUGUUCACCGGCAAUCCACAAUGACUCUUGGAUGUUCAGAACGCGACGGCUAACCGGCUAGAGGAUUCACUCAAGUGUAACAAGUCUUCUGAUCACUCGGACAGAAAGACUUCAGUGAUGCCUAACACUUUAUGGCUCUGGGUGUUUUGGGCUUAGUCCUCGCAAGGAUCUCUCCCUCAAAUGCUUCAGAGGUGGGUUGCUCUCAAAUGACAGAAGUCGUGCACUAACUCUGAGCAGCCACCAAUUUGUGGUGUAGGGGGUGGGAUAUUUAUAGCCAGGAGGCAACCCGACCUGAUAUGUCCGAAAUGAUCCUGGGUCACUAAGGAACUGACACGUGUCCAACGAUUAGAUUUCAAACUCACGCGGCAGCUUGGCUUGGGCUACAAGAAAAGUUGACUCAUCCAGCUCUGGAUAAGGUUUGCUCUCAUUGUCUUCGCUCGAAGACAUAGGAUUUGGUUGAGCAUUACUUCAUCACUCUGACUUUGUUCACUUGGACCCCACUUAACAGUACGGUGGUUCAUAUGACUCAACAAAGAAUAAAGGAAACUACGAAACAGCUAUGUCUUCGCACUCCAUAGUCUUCAAGUGAAUAUCUUCACAUGUCAUAAUCUUCGUCGAGAAUGUCUUCACGAACCACCAUUGUCUUUAAUGUCUUCACACAUUUUUAGGGGUCAUCUCUGGUAGGUAAACCGAAUCAAUGAGGGACUACUACCUGUGUUAUCCUGCAAUUCUCACAAACACAUUAGUCCCUCAACCACGUUUGUCGUCAAUACUCCAAAACCAACUAGGGGUGGCACUAGAUGCACUUACAAUAUUUAGUCCCAACAGAAAUACAUGGUUGUAAGCAUUAAAACCCCAUGCCCAUACCUCUUUUUAUUAUAAGUGUUUCAUCACCAUUAGCUUGAUUGAUCCGGCCAAAAGCAGGAUUAUUUCUUUGACAGAAGCUUGCUAGAAACCAUCACUUCAGGGGGACCUUCCUCUCUCGGAUUCAAUAACCCAAUGUCACCUCUUUCGGGAAAUAGGUGUAGGGUACUUUCUGUUCCUUUACCGGAUCACUAAAAAGGGAAGUACCAUCCAGCAUGGUGCUCGGUAGGGCACGACGGCUUGUUUUGCAUCCUGUGGUCCUACGUUCGGUCGGCCAUUGAUGGAUCUGAUGCCUCAUGCUAGAGCUUAGCCACCGCUGGCCUCUAUGAGGUGCGGUUGGCUGCGGCAGAUCUCGGUGCUUCUUCAUCGGCAAGCGGGUUUGAUAGUGGUGGUUGGUGGUCUUGCCAGUGCUGGUGCUUGUUGAUAUGUGGCGGAGGAUGUGUUGGGGGCUUGGGUGAAGGCUAAUGCCCUUCGGGAUCCGGUCCAAAUAGCUACCUUUUACCUAAGGAGUGACCCUAGGUUAUCGAACCCACGAGAGGAUGUGCACUACGACUGAGAGUCAAACAAGUUAUUGUUGUUGAAUUAAAUUCUAGUUUUUAACCAGACCUUUAACAACCUUUUUGGAAGUAGACACUGGUAUGAAAUAGGCAUGCGUAUGAGGUCUUACUCUCACAACCUUAUAGUUGUGAUUGGGAUCUCAUCUUGAUAAUAAACAUAGCUCUGUAAGAUUACCAUUGCGGUGUGUUUGCUACGCGAUGAAGUGGGGAUGCGUCCAAAGAACGUCUUGACCGGUCACGACCUGCAUCAAAAGUUAGUUGUCCAACUGGUGGCCCUUACCGUCGCGUGGGGUUACCUUGGUUAAUUAUUAAGAAUUACUUCAAACAAGAGCAUUGCGCGUUUAAGGACCACACCUCAUUUAUCCCCAAGGAAUUGAUUCUCGCUAUCGUACUAAUCCCUUCUCUCACUGUUGUUCAGAAUAGCGUUCCCCGCAUCCUCGCUUCUUACCUCCUCUUGAUCGAUAUACGAGUCAUGGGUACAUGUAGGGCCUUAGAAACUCCGUUGAAAUCAAACACAUACAAAUAACCUCAAAUACACGAAGUCAUUCCAAAGACCUCUGUGCACAAAUACAUUCAGUUGCAAGGCCUUGCCUCAACUCAUUGCCUUACCGAAUUAGUCCUACAUGACAAUCAGAUCGCAAGAUGAACUCAUUGAAGACAAGAUGAAGAUGAAUGAUUGGUUUUAUAAUACGUCUUGCAAUAGUUGUUAGUUGCAAUACACCGAUUGCAAGUAUGACUAACUUGGAGAGAAUGGUUGCACCGAUGAAGGUGGUGGCGGCUAUAAAAGUGAGAUUGGAAAUGGCGACGUCUAUGGUUGGAAGAUGACUUCUAGUUCUCUAUUUCACGAAUGGUGGCUCUCACGUUGAGAUUCUUGCAUGGACCCCCAUUAUAGAAGUUGGUGAGGUAGACGCCCUUGAGUCGACGGCAUAUGUGGUACGAGCGUGCGCGCUCGUACCGUGUUGCCUUCUUCUCUACACUUCUUGUUUCCUCCUAUAUGAUGAUAUUCUUUCAUAUUUGAACCCAUUUCUUGUGGGAACACAUUAAUAAAGGAUUCACUUUCCUUACAUUCAUUAGUCAAUAAUAUCAAUAUCAGAGUGAUUCUCUCGACAGUAAAGAUGACAAGGGGAGCGAUGUAGGAGAUGCGACAAAGGUUGAUGUAGUCGGCUCUUCUCCAACGUGUCGUGGGAUGGCCUCGGUUUGUUGUUGUCAAGUCUUAGCAGGGUGGGAUGGCCUCGGUUUGUUUUUGUGAAGUCUUAACAGGGCCCGGUGGCAUACGGAUGACAAGCCUUGCCGUUCUCCGUUUUGAUGAUCUUCCACGGGGUCAGUCAGCCUUGCCUGGAGAGUUGCGCUAUCAUAUAUCCAAACGGCCCUCUAAGAAGUGAUGACAACGCUGCCGAUGCAUUGUAUGUCGACGCAUUGUCCCAACAAGGCCCUCAAAGUUUGUGCCACUCUGGCGGUCUGCUGAUGGUAUUUUUUGUUAAUUAACUAAGCAACUCUCUUUUGCUUUCCUUUGCAGAAAAAAAUGCUGGCAAGGGUAAGAAAAAACUAGCCAACUUAAACUGACUGCUAAGCACAGUUUUCAGAAGCGUGCAGUUGAUCAUGAAAAAGAAAACAACCAACCAAGUGGACGCCCUAGUCUGAGAAGGUGGGUCACAUCUCGCUUGUGCAAAUAUUAGAGCACGGAUAGCAGAAGGCAAAUCAGAAUCCACAGUAAAUCUCAGGCAAAAAAAGGGUGAGAGAAUAACAUAACAGAACAUCAUCGCACCAAGUACAAAGAUAAUCCUUGACUAAACAGCCAACAGAACUGAAUCCAAAGUAUCGUCUAAACUGCAAAAUCCCAGAUGAUUCACUAGGACAAAACACUAGUAGCAACUUAUGCUUCAGUCUGCUCCCUCAAGCGACGGAUAGUGCUCCUGACAGUGACCGCACUGGCAGUGCUGCAAACACAUAUUGCAAGAUCAGCAAAGUUGGGCAAAUAAUUUUGAAAGAAUAAGAAGCAGAUGAUGAGAACAUACUUCAUGGUGUAAGCACCGCCAGCCUUCACCUUCCCACAGUCCUUGCAUCCCCAAAUUCCAACUGCUUUCCUCUUCACAGCAAACUGGUAAGAGUAUACAGUAAACGGAGUAUCAAGACAAAGGACUUUUAGGAUAUAUAACAAAAAUUAAAGCACUGGUAGCAAAUGGAGUAACAAACAGUUACAGAACAGAUUGCUGUGAUCAAACUACUCUACAGUUGGGAACAUGCAGUAUAUGGUGAGAUGUCCAAACCAGAUAAAUGUCCCUUUUGUUUCUAUGAUGGAACUAUACAAACUAACAAACUGGAACAUAAAUAAAUAAAUGUAUCAUUCACAUAGCCUUGCAAAAUGAUACUACCAAAAAGCAUACAAGAUAUUAUAUAUAGGUAUAGCCUAGCUCAAGAUAUGAACUGAAGUUCAAGAUGGACACAGAAAAAUAAUGCUGCCAUAGGAGAAAACUGUAAACAAUGAAAACAACAUAUCAUGAUGAACAUCAACAAGCAUCGGAAUAUGGGCC
This 22505-nucleotide long non-coding RNA is filed under the name Triticum aestivum (bread wheat). RNAcentral's name for it is "long non-coding RNA (TAES_LNC016475)". Lineage: Eukaryota; Viridiplantae; Streptophyta; Magnoliopsida; Poales; Poaceae. The record is from RNAcentral.